RNAcentral lists this ribosomal RNA (703 nucleotides) under Entomortierella beljakovae. Its description in RNAcentral is "eukaryotic LSU rRNA". It matches the Rfam family "Eukaryotic large subunit ribosomal RNA", at positions 92 to 649 of the family's 3401-position model. The record is from RNAcentral. Lineage: Eukaryota; Fungi; Mortierellomycota; Mortierellomycetes; Mortierellales; Mortierellaceae.
AGUGAAGCGGGAUGAAGCUCAAAUUUAAAAUCUGGCUGGUUUACUAGUCCGAAUUGUAGUUUAAAGAAGCGUUUUCGGUGGCAGCCUGGGUAUAAAUCCUUUGGAAUAGGGUAUCAUAGAGGGUGAGAAUCCCGUCUUUGACUCAGUGCAUGCUACUAUGUGAUACGUUUUCAAAGAGUCGAGUUGUUUGGGAAUGCAGCUCAAAAUGGGUGGUAAAUUUCAUCUAAAGCUAAAUAUUGGCGAGAGACCGAUAGCGAACAAGUACCGUGAGGGAAAGAUGAAAAGAACUUUGAAAAGAGAGUUAAAUAGUGCGUGAAAUUGUUGAAAGGGAAACGUUUGACACCAGUCAUGCGGGUGGAAAAUCAGUCUUUUGGGGUGGGGAGUGGUAGGAGUUCAGACCGUAAGGCUGGCUUUUGCUUCAUCUCUGUCCUAAAGGAUGCACUUUUUCAUCUGCAGGUCAACAUCAGUUUCUUCUGCUGGACAAAACUCCGAGAGAAGGUAGCAGCUUUGGCUGUGUUAUAGCUCUGGAGCGAUACAGUGGAGGGGACUGAGGUUUUCGCAGUGUGUGCUCUCGGGCAAGGUCGACUGGGUGCUAUGUGAUCGUUCGGUGUACAAUGCAUGCAUUUUGCGCUGUGUCUUUUGCAUACUCGCCUGAAUCGACUCUUCCACGCUUAGGAUGUUGACUUAAUGGUUUUAAACGACC